This 843-nucleotide ribosomal RNA is filed under the name Gnolus sp. GH1014. RNAcentral's name for it is "SSU rRNA". It matches the Rfam family "Eukaryotic small subunit ribosomal RNA", at positions 441 to 1288 of the family's 1831-position model. The record is from RNAcentral. Lineage: Eukaryota; Metazoa; Arthropoda; Arachnida; Araneae; Araneidae.
UUACCCACUCCCGGCACGGGGAGGUAGUGACGAAAAAUAACAAUACGGGACUCUUUUGAGACCCCGUAAUUGGAAUGAGUACACUCUAAAUCCUUUAACGAGGAUCCAUUGGAGAGCAAGUCUGGUGCCAGCCGUCGCGGUAAUUCCAGCUCCAAUAGCGUAUAUUAAAGUUGUUGCGGUUAAAAAGCUCGUAGUUGGAUCUCAGCUCGAGACGGACGGUCCGCCUACCGGUGGUUACUGUCCGUUCUCAGCAUUUCGUUAGCCAUUCCAGAUGAUCUUCAUCGGUUGUCUAGAGUGACUGACAAGUUUACUUUGAAAAAAUUAGAGUGCUCAAAGCAGACGUGACGUCUGAAUAAUUGUGCAUGGAAUAAUGGAAUAGGACCUCGGUUCUAUUUUGUUGGUUUUCGGAACACGAGGUAAUGAUUAAGAGGGACAGACGGGGGCAUUCGUACUGCGACGCUAGAGGUGAAAUUCUUGGACCGUCGCAUGACGAACUACUGCGAAAGCAUUUGCCAAGAAUGUUUCCAUUAAUCAAGAACGAAAGUUAGAGGUCCGAAGGCGAUCAGAUACCGCCCUAGUUCUAACCAUAAACGAUGCCAGCCAGCGAUCCGGCUGUGUUCCUCAAAUGACACGCCGGGCAGCUUCCGGGAAACCAAAGCUUUUGGGUUCCGGGGGAAGUAUGGUUGCAAAGCUGAAACUUGAAGGAAUUGACGGAAGGGCACCACCAGCAAUGGAGCCUGCGGCUCAAUUUGACUCAACACGGGAAAACUUACCCGGCCCGGACACAGGAAGGAUUGACAGAUUAAGAGCUCUUUCUUGAUUCUGUGGGUAGUGGUGCAUGGC